GCGGCUUUGACCCCUGCUGCGCCUGCGCGUGGCGCUAAUGAUAGCGCUAGGGCGCCAGAGCGCGCGCUUGCGCAUUACUGGUGCCUUCUGGCCCUUUGGUAGCAGCCUUAUUAACUGUAGGCGUCCGGU
This 129-nucleotide small nucleolar RNA is filed under the name Sus scrofa (pig). Lineage: Eukaryota; Metazoa; Chordata; Mammalia; Artiodactyla; Suidae. The record is from RNAcentral.